GAAGUAGAGUUGGGAGCACUGCAGGAAAAUAUGUAAUAGGCAAUGUUAUUUUUGGCUUUUGGCAACGCAAAUAAACGCUUGCUAAAUGGGUCCACGACGUUUUUCAAAGCGUUAGGCGCGCGCCGACUAUGCAGGAGUGGAAAACCAUCUUUGGAGUCCGACGACGCUUGUAGAAUGGUGACAAAAUUAUAGGCUUUUCCACCUUUUUAAACGCCGUCGGGUUCCAGCAGAAAGAGUUGUCUCAGUGGCAUCUAACGACGU
RNAcentral lists this long non-coding RNA (261 nucleotides) under Elaeis guineensis (African oil palm). Its description in RNAcentral is "long non-coding RNA (EGUI_LNC075184)". The record is from RNAcentral. Lineage: Eukaryota; Viridiplantae; Streptophyta; Magnoliopsida; Arecales; Arecaceae.